RNAcentral lists this ribosomal RNA (462 nucleotides) under uncultured bacterium. RNAcentral describes it as "partial 16S ribosomal RNA". It matches the Rfam family "Bacterial small subunit ribosomal RNA", at positions 32 to 523 of the family's 1533-position model. The record is from RNAcentral.
AAUCAACGCUGGCGGCGUGCCUAACACAUGCAAGUCGCACGAGAAAGGGUCUUCGGAUCCGAGUAAAGUGGCGCACGGGUGAGUAACACGUGAAUUAUCUACCUUCGAGUGGGGAAUAACUUCGGGAAACCGAGGCUAAUACCGCAUAAUAUCUACGGAUCAAAGCAGUAAUGCGCUUGAAGAGGAGUUCGCGGCAGAUUAGUUAGUUGGCGGGGUAAUGGCCCACCAAGACGAUGAUCUGUAUCCGGCCUGAGAGGGCGCACGGACACACUGGAACUGGAACACGGCCCAGACUCCUACGGGAGGCAGCAGUGGGGAAUUUUGCGCAAUGGGGGAAACCCUGACGCAGCAACGCCGCGUGGAGAUGAAGUCUCUUGGGACGUAAACUCCUUUCGAUAGGGAAGAUUAUGACGGUACCUAUAGAAGAAGCCCCGGCUAACUUCGUGCCAGCCGCCGCCGUAA